This 324-nucleotide ribosomal RNA is filed under the name uncultured eukaryote. RNAcentral describes it as "partial 18S ribosomal RNA". It matches the Rfam family "Eukaryotic small subunit ribosomal RNA", at positions 1470 to 1796 of the family's 1831-position model. The record is from RNAcentral.
CCCUUAGAUGUUCUGGGCUGCACGCGCGCUACACUGAUGCGAUCAACAAGUUUUUCCUAUGUCGAUAGACACGGGUAAUCUUUUGAACUCGCAUCGUGAUGGGGAUAGAUUAUGGUAAUUAUUAAUCUUCAACGAGGAAUUCCUAGUAGGUGCAAAUCAUCAGUUUGCAUCGAUUACGUCCCUGCCCUUUGUACACACCGCCCGUCGCUGCUACCGAUUGGUUGAUCUGGUGAAUUAUUCGGACUGCCGGCUGAAGGGGUUUCCUCAUCUGCCAGCGGAAAGUCUUGUUAACCCUAUCAACUAGAGGAAGCAGAAGUCGUAACA